UUCCGGUUGAUCCUGCCGGACCUGACUGCUAUCGGAUUGAUACUAAGCCAUGUGAGUCAUUGUAGCAAUACAAGGCAGACGGCUCAGUAACACGUAGCCAAUCUAACCUAUGGACGGGGAUAACCUCGGGAAACUGAGGGUAAACCCCGAUAGAUCAUUAUACCUGGAACGGUUUAUGGUCCAAAUGAUUCGUCGCCGUAGGAUGAGACUGCGGCCUAUCAGCUUGUUGGUGAGGUAAUGGCCCACCAAGGCUAUUACAGGUACGGGCUCUGAGAGGAGAAGCCCGGAGAUGGGUACUGAGACACGGACCCAGGCCCUAUGGGGCGCAGCAGGCGAGAAAACUUUGCAAUGUGCGCAAGCACGACAAGGUUAAUCCGAGUGUUUCCUGCUUAAGGAAUCUUUUGUUAGUUGUAAAACCACUAUCGAAUAAGGGGUGGGCAAGUUCUGGUGUCAGCCGCCGCGGUAAAACCAGCACCUCAAGUGGUCAGGAGGAUUAUUGGGCCUAAAGCAUCCGUAGCCUGUUCUAUAAGUUUCCGGUUAAAUCCAUUAGCUCAACUAAUGGGCUGCCGAAAAUACUGUAGAACUAGGGAGUGGGAGAGGUAGACGGUAUUCGGUAGGAAGGGGUAAAAUCCUUUGAUCUAUUGAGGACCACCUGUGGCGAAGGCGGUCUACCGGAACACGUUCGACGGUGAGGGAUGAAAGCUGGGGGAGCAAACCGGAUUAGAUACCCGGGUAGUCCCAGCUGUAAACGAUGCAGACUCGGUGAUGCGCUGGCUUGUGGCCAGUGCAGUGCCGCAGGGAAGCCGUUAAGUUUGCCGCCUGGGAAGUACGUACGCAAGUAUGAAACUUAAAGGAAUUGGCGGGGGAGCACCACAAGGGGUGAAGCCUGCGGUUCAUUGAGUCAACGCCGA
This 911-nucleotide ribosomal RNA is filed under the name uncultured archaeon. Its description in RNAcentral is "bacterial SSU rRNA". It matches the Rfam family "Archaeal small subunit ribosomal RNA", at positions 1 to 921 of the family's 1478-position model. The record is from RNAcentral.